GACGAACGCUGGCGGCGUGCCUAAUACAUGCAAGUAGGACGCAGUUGCGAACGGGUGAGUAACGCGUAGGUAACUACCUAUUAGAGGGGGAUCACUAUUGGAAACGAUAGCUAAUACCGCAUACUAGUAGAUGGACCUGCGUUGUAUUAGCUAGUAGGUAGGGUAAUGGCCUACCAAGGCAACGAUACAUAGCCGACCUGAGAGGGGAAGCGGCCACAUUGGGACUGAGACACGGCCCAACCUCCUACGGGAGGCAGCAGUAGGGAAUCUUCCGCAAUGGGCGAAAGCCUGACGGAGCAACGCCGCGUGAGUGAAGAAGGCUUUCGGAUCGUAAAGCUCUGUUGUAAGAGAAGCGGUAUCUUACCAGAAAGCCACGGCUAACUACGUGCCAGCAGCCGCGGUAAUAC
This 407-nucleotide ribosomal RNA is filed under the name uncultured bacterium. Its description in RNAcentral is "partial 16S ribosomal RNA". It matches the Rfam family "Bacterial small subunit ribosomal RNA", at positions 28 to 526 of the family's 1533-position model. The record is from RNAcentral.